Non-coding RNA from Chrysemys picta bellii (western painted turtle), 608 nucleotides. The record is from RefSeq and is a predicted model, not a curated record. Lineage: Eukaryota; Metazoa; Chordata; Testudines; Emydidae.
AUUUUUAUUUCCCAGUCAGCCCCGACAUCAAGAAGCGGUUGCAGCAGCUCGAGGGUGCUGAAGGAAAAUCCCUGGAGAAACUGGUAAGCGUGGCCACCCGAGUAUAUCAUACAAGGGAAAAAGUUCAAGAGACCAAACAGACCCCCAGGUUCGCCUAACAUUGGGAGGAACCGCCUAUUCUUGUCUUUUGGAUUCAGGGGCUGCACUUUCUACUGUUACUGCCAAGCCGGAGAGAGGAAGCCUUACAGAUAAGAGCAUUCCGAUGACAAAAUCAUUCUUCGGUUGCCUGAAACCCAACUUCCCCAGCCGUGUGCUGUUCUAACCCAAGUUUCAAAGGACCCGAUCCUGUCUGCGGACCCGAUCCUACCUGAGCGACUCAGACAGGAGGUAAACAUCUCCCUGUGGGCCACUUCAAGGGCAGACUUGGGUACUCUCCAGACAGAGCCAGUGCAUAUAACCCUGAAGCCAGGCAUUAAAAUUCCUCGGAUUCGUCAGUAUCCCAUCCCCCAAGAAGCUCUGCUUGGCCUCCGGAGUCUUAUCACCACAUUCCUGCGGUUGGGAGUGCUGGUUCACACCAAGUCUCCUUUCAAUACUCCCAUUCUGCCAGU